CGGACGGGUGAGUAAUGUCUGGGAAACUGCCUGAUGGAGGGGGAUAACUACUGGAAACGGUAGCUAAUACCGCAUAACGUCGCAAGACCAAAGAGGGGGACCUUCGGGCCUCUUGCCAUCGGAUGUGCCCAGAUGGGAUUAGCUAGUAGGUGGGGUAACGGCUCACCUAGGCGACGAUCCCUAGCUGGUCUGAGAGGAUGACCAGCCACACUGGAACUAAGACACGGUCCAG
Molecule: ribosomal RNA, 232 nt
Filed under: uncultured bacterium
Lineage: Bacteria
Description: partial 16S ribosomal RNA
Rfam family: Bacterial small subunit ribosomal RNA
Source: RNAcentral